AUAUACUUUAAAAAGGGAAACAAAAGUGUCAAGAAUUCAUUAAAAAUAUGCAGAAGUCAACAAAAGGAACUUCAGAAGAUAUAUGCAAGUCAUACUAAAUUUUUAAAAAUUUUAAGCAAAUUACAUAUGGUAGAGAGUAAUGAUUUCAUGUACAAUCUUCUUUUUCUAUUCUUAUUUUUAUAGAGAAAUGUUUAUUUGUUUAAUUUGUCAGGUUUGUAUGUACAUAUGACAAUAUAAAUGGAGGAGGUGAAGAACAUGAAUGUAGCAGACCCCAACCACAAAACUGUUUAUUUGGACCACCAUUAGAUGAUUCAUUUCUCCUUGUGAAUUAAAGCUAUUGAAAAUUAUUUUAAUUUCAAGCUCUAAUAUAAUAAUAAUAAAAGGAAACUUUAAAAAAGAUAUGUUUGUACAUAUAUGUAUAUAUUAUUGUGUAUAUAUAUAUAUAUGCAUAUAUACACACACAUAUAUAUGUAUAUAUGCUGAAAGCAAAGGCAAGUAGCAAAAGUUGAAUGCAAAAGAAUGGUACCAUAAAAACAGUCUGCAUUCUAUAUGAGAAUAGUUUGAAAUAACUGGGGAGAUUUAUCCUAGAGAAAAAACAACCCAAGGAAAUAUGAUAGUUCUUCCCCAAACCUAUGGCACUCCUUAAUUGUUCUUGAAUCACACUCACUUUUUAAUCUUAAUACACUACAAUUCUUACUGUAGUUCUGUUAUCUCAAUUCUUCUCAUCCUCAUUCUAAGACCAAAACACAAGUCUAUGUAGGCUACUCAAAGCUACUAAGUAAUUUCAUAAUAAACUCUCUUGUAUUAUCCAGUGGAAAAUUUCAUUUCAUAAAGAAUUCUUUGUCUCAGAAAUGGAGAUAAAUGUAGGAUAUUUGGUUCUAAUUAACUUUGGAACCCAACCAAUAAGCUGAGAUAUGGGAUCUCAGGCAGUUUGAACCACCAUUCAGUAUUUCAUUUGUCUUUGUUAUUUCUAAAUUAUAAAACAUUAUUGUGAAUAAAACGUAUUAAAUCUUUUUUGAAAAUUCUCUUAAUUUCAAGCUCUAAAAU
This 1047-nucleotide long non-coding RNA is filed under the name Sarcophilus harrisii (Tasmanian devil). RNAcentral describes it as "lncRNA (ENSSHAG00000028909.1)". Lineage: Eukaryota; Metazoa; Chordata; Mammalia; Dasyuromorphia; Dasyuridae. The record is from RNAcentral.